AUGAACGCUGGCGGCGUGCCUAAUACAUGCAAGUCGCGCGAACGGACGAGAAGCUUGCUUUUCUGAUGUUAGCGGCGGACGGGUGAGUAACACGUGGAUAACCUACCUAUAAGACUGGGAUAACUUCGGGAAACCGGAGCUAAUACCGGAUAAUAUUUUGAACCGCAUGGUUCAAAAGUGAAAGGCGGUCUUGCUGUCACUUAUAGAUGGAUCCGCGCUGCAUUAGCUAGUUGGUAAGGUAACGGCUUACCAAGGCAACGAUGCAUAGCCGACCUGAGAGGGUGAUCGGCCACACUGGAACUGAGACACGGUCCAGACUCCUACGGGAGGCAGCAGUAGGGAAUCUUCCGCAAUGGGCGAAAGCCUGACGGAGCAACGCCGCGUGAGUGAUGAAGGUCUUCGGAUCGUAAAACUCUGUUAUUAGGGAAGAACAUAUGUGUAAGUAACUGUGCACAUCUUGACGGUACCUAAUCAGAAAGCCACGGCUAACUACGUG
RNAcentral lists this ribosomal RNA (496 nucleotides) under uncultured bacterium. Its description in RNAcentral is "partial 16S ribosomal RNA". It matches the Rfam family "Bacterial small subunit ribosomal RNA", at positions 29 to 507 of the family's 1533-position model. The record is from RNAcentral.